Corvus hawaiiensis (hawaiian crow) is the source of this 1809-nucleotide long non-coding RNA. RefSeq lists it as uncharacterized. The transcript is spliced from 6 exons. Lineage: Eukaryota; Metazoa; Chordata; Aves; Passeriformes; Corvidae. The record is from RefSeq and is a predicted model, not a curated record.
GUACAGCACAAGUGCUGAGGGAUAGUUCUGUUUCAUGCUUGAAAGGAGGAAUGUGUCAUACAAAGCACACUUUGUACUGAGCUGUGGGAAAAGAGGUGAAUGGGAGGCGAAACCAGAAGCUUUAAGAGCAGUUCAAAAUGUCGCUUCCUCUCUGCCUGUCUCUGGGGGCACUUCUGAAUGAAUGAAGAAACUGCACAAAAUGAGACACACACAAAGCUGGGAGAGCUUUUGGAAGAAAUCUCUUCUCCUGUGGCUCCCACCUCACUGCAAGGGCAGGUAUCUUCCCAUCAGGCAGAGCUUGUGCUAGGCAUUCUGCCCCUUCCCUGCCUCUGCUUCCUUCUUGGAGAGGAAGCGAAGUGCUGGAACUACCACAGUAACAAAUACAGGGAAUUUAGUCCUGAAAACAACCUACCACAGGACUAGGAGAACAUUUGUGGGCAGCACUGGUGGCUGCACUCUUCUACAUAGGUGUAAGUGCUGAUGAUUUUCUUCUUGUGCUUUGCUGUCAAGAAAUGCGUAACUGGUACCUUUUGGAAAGCAAAAAAUGAAAUGCUCAAAGAAAAAGGACACAGUCUGUAGCAUUUGCCACCUUAAGAAGGAGAGGAAUCUUGUAUGGAAAGUUGGCACUGAACAUAAAAUUAAUUUAAGGAAUAUACUUGAGCACCCGUAAGGAACUGAAUGAAGAGGGAGCAGAAGAGAAGGUCCAGUCUAGUGGGGUCAGAAAGUCUUUGUGGUGAACUACUGCUAGAAGAAAAAGCGGAAUUCAACUUCUGUAAAGGAAAUUAAAACGCACCACGGUGACCCCACAGCUUCCCUUACGUGGCACCACGCUCUGAACAGAGGGGACUCCUUAUGCCAGGAAGAACAAUCUGGUGACUCACAAGAUGGUGUUCUGCAAUGUACGAAAUAAGGAGUCCCUCUGCAUAAGGAACCAUAAACUACCAUUUAUGAUGCCUGUGAAGGAGGGAAAUGGAAUAUCUCUGUAGAAGAGUCAAAAAAGACACGACAGCACUGAUACCACUGGCAGCCAACACAGACAUCACAGUGUUACAGCUUGAGAAACUCAGCUGCCCUGAGGUGAGUGAGAACAAACCAGAGUUUCUGACAGUAGUGCAAACCUGCCUCUGGAGGAAGGGAACCUAUCCCACUAAUUAAAGAGUUCCAGAGGCCUGACCAGGAUUCCUUGAGCUUGACAGAAAGGAACAGGGAUGCUGCUGCCACGCCCUCACUACAAGCCCUUGACUAGGGACAACAAAAUGGUUUCUGGACCAAUCUGUCAUUUCCCUUAGGAGGCAUCAGCUGAGCUUGGACUGGACUCUGGUACAGCACUCACCACAACUGUACAUUGUACAGAAUUACAUAAAAACCAUUUUUAAAAAAAAUUUGUUGGGGAAAUCGGAAUCAGAAAAUUCAGGACUAUCUGUUCCUGCCUCUACUAUAGAACUCCUAUGUAUCAACCUAAUUACUCCAAUCAAAGUGCUCCUAAUUUUCUAAUGUCAAAUAUUUGCUAGGUCAUUCUAGGGAGCUGAAACACUGAGGACUUCCAUGUGGCAGCUGAAGUUUGACUAUAUGUGUCUAUACGUACUUCCUCAGAAAUGGUGCUGGUAUUGACAUCCAAGCUGGCUCAUUUUCAACUGAUUCUGAUAAACCUGCAGUGUUAUGUACAUUUAUGUACAAAUAAUGUGUAAGUGUCUAUACACAUGUACAUUGAAUCAUAGAAUUGCCUGGGUAGAAAGGAACCUUAAAAGACCAUCUCGUUCCAACCCCCUGCCAUGUGCAGGGACACUUUUCACUAAACCAGGUUACUCA